Molecule: long non-coding RNA, 692 nt
Filed under: Parus major (Great Tit)
Lineage: Eukaryota; Metazoa; Chordata; Aves; Passeriformes; Paridae
Description: lncRNA (ENSPMJG00000015464.1)
Source: RNAcentral
CAAUGAUCCAGAUCCUCCUGCACACGAAGGAUUCAGCACAAGCUGGGCAAGCAGAGAGAUAACUUUUGCCUAAUUUGUGCUGAGCUAAGGAGCAGGAACAGGGGACUGCAGUUUGCCAUUACAAGAGGUAAUUUCUGCUCCCUGAAGCAGGACACAGACCUGGUCUCUGCGACCAUGCCGACAGGUUCUGGUGGUUUGGGCUCUGAAAAGAGCUUUUCCAGGAGUGCCUCUCAGGAUGAGUGUGCUGCAUGGAGCAAAGGGGAGGCUGGAGCCCCAGUGCUGCUGCUUUCAGUCCUGCAAAGGGGAGGCAGCUUUUGCUUCCUCCAGCUUCCCCCGGCUUCCCAGGGUGCUCUCUGACCAGCUCAUUUUAGCACAGCCAGCUGUCUCAUCUGGCAAGCACAGCCCGAAUUCAGCUCCUGCUUUCUGUGUGCUGACACGAGGUCUCGGUUCCCUGGAAGUGGAUUGGUUUCUGAGGAUCUGUGAAGAAAUUUUGCAUUUUGUCUGAAGGUUCAGAGCUUGUCCUACUGAUUUUGCUCAGUGUUUCAGAAAUCCUUCAUAAUUUCUGCAAGCAAAACUUUUCAACAGCUUUUGAAGCUUUCCCUGAUUUUCAGAGCUGAUCGGGAGGGAAGCUGACCCUGCAGGUAUUAACUGGCAAUUUGGAAUAAAAUGCCUUAUUUAAAGAAAUUACUCCA